This 467-nucleotide ribosomal RNA is filed under the name uncultured organism. RNAcentral's name for it is "bacterial SSU rRNA". It matches the Rfam family "Bacterial small subunit ribosomal RNA", at positions 28 to 507 of the family's 1533-position model. The record is from RNAcentral.
GACGAACGCUGGCGGCGUGCUUAACACAUGCAAGUCAAGGGGGCCCGCAAGGGCAACCGGCGAACGGGUGCGUAACACGUGAGCAAGUUUCCUAUUAGUGGGGGAUAGCCGGCCCAACGGCCGGGUAAUACCGCAUAUCUUGAUCGGGUGGCAUCGCCUGGUCAGGAAACCUCCGGGGCUAAUAGAGGCGCUCGCGGCCUAUCAGCUAGUUGGUGAGGUAAUGGCUCACCAAGGCUAUGACGGGUAGCUGGUCUGAGAGGAUGGCCAGCCACAUUGGGACUGCGACACGGCCCAGACUCCUACGGGAGGCAGCAGUGGGGAAUAUUGCGCAAUGGACGAAAGUCUGACGCAGCGACGCCGCGUGUGGGAUGAAGCCUUUCGGGGCGUAAACCACUGUUGCCCGGGACGAACAUCCCCUUUCGAGGGGACUGACGGUACCGGGUGAGGAAGCACCGGCUAACUCUGUG